This 2076-nucleotide small RNA is filed under the name Pongo abelii (Sumatran orangutan). Its description in RNAcentral is "retained intron". The record is from RNAcentral. Lineage: Eukaryota; Metazoa; Chordata; Mammalia; Primates; Hominidae.
UCAGUGUAUCAAAGGGACACCUGCACCCCCAUGUUUAUUGCAGCAAUAUUCACAAUAGCCUUAUAGUUUUAGUGCUUAGAGGCAUUUAAACAGCCUCUCGCCUCCAGACUACUUCACUGUAGUUUAUUUUCCCUGACCCUCCACAAUGUGAUUACCAACCGCUAGGAUGAGGUGCAUCUUAUUACAAAGUAGUAAAUUACAAGAUUGUAACAUUAGACUUUUUAAGAAAAUGCAGUCAGCUUUUAUACUAAUCAAUCUUAAUUUCCAGGUUACUCAGAAUUCCAGGUAUUCUGAUUUGGACUCUCAUCUCAUAUUGUAUUUCCUGUAUUUUAACUAGGAAGUUACUGCCAACAGCAUCUAUCUCUAUUAAAUAUAGAGGAAUUGACAAAAGAGGGGAAAGAAACUUGUGUUAGGUAAUAGAACUGCUUCAGAAAUAGGGCUAUUCAUGUUUAAAGUGUUUCUCCUUCGUUUUUCAGGGCAUCUCAUUGGGAGAUAUUCCUCUUCCAGGCAGUAUCAGUGAUGGCAUGAAUUCUUCAGCACAUUAUCAUGUAAACUUCAGCCAGGCUAUAAGUCAGGAUGUGAAUCUUCAUGAGGCCAUCUUGCUUUGUCCCAACAAUACAUUUAGAAGAGAUCCCAUAGCAAGGACUUCACAGUCACAAGAACCAUUUCUGCAGUUAAAUUCUCAUACCACCAAUCCUGAGCAAACCCUUCCUGGAACUAAUUUGACAGGAUUUCUUUCACCGGUUGACAAUCAUACGAGGAAUCUAACAAGCCAAGACCUACUAUAUGACCUUGACAUAAAUAUAUUUGAUGAGAUAAACUUAAUGUCAUUGGCCACAGAAGACAACUUUGAUCCAAUCGAUGUUUCUCAGCUUUUUGAUGAACCAGAUACUGAUUCUGGCCUUUCUUUAGAUUCAAGUCACAACAGUACCUCUGUCAUCAAGUCUAAUUCCUCUCACUCUGUGUGUGAUGAAGGUGCUAUAGGUUAUUGUACUGACCAUGAAUCUAGUUCCCAUCAUGACUUAGAAGGUGCCGUAGGCGGCUACUACCCAGAACCCAGUAAGCUUUGUCACUUGGAUCAGAGUGAUUCUGGUUAUCAUGGGGAUCUUACAUUUCAACACAUAUUUCAUAACCACACUUACCACUUACAGCCAAGUGUACCAGAAUCUACUUCUGAACCUUAUUUGUGGCCUGAGAAGUCACAGAAGAUAAGGCGUAGACACCUUGAAGACACAGAUAGAAACUUGAGCCGUGAUGAACAGCGUGCUAAAGCUUUGCAUAUCCCUUUUUCUGUAGAUGAAAUUGUCGGCAUGCCUGUUGAUUCCUUCAAUAGCAUGUUAAGUAGGUAUUAUCUGACAGACCUACAAGUCUCACUUAUCCGUGACAUCAGACGAAGAGGGAAAAAUAAAGUUGCUAUGAAACAGAAACUGCAUGACCUUUAUCAUGAUAUUUUUAGUAGAUUAAGAGAUGACCAAGGUAGGCCAGUCAAUCCAAACCACUAUGCUCUCCAGUGCACCCAUGAUGGAAGUAUCUUGAUAGUACCCAAAGCACUGGUAGCCUCAGGCCACAAAAAGGAAACCCAAAAGGGAAAGAGAAAGUGAGAAGAAACUGAAGAUGGACUCUAUUAUGUGAAGUAGUAAUGUUCAGAAACUGAUUAUUUGGAUCAGAAACCACUGAAACUGCUUCAAGAAUUUUAUCUUUAAGUACUGCUACUUGAAUAACUCAGUUAAGGCUCUGUUUUGAAGCUUACAUGGACAAACGUUUAAGACUUCAAGAUCAUACUUGUGGGCAAUCUGGGGGAGCCACAACUUUUCAUGAAAUGCAUUGUAUACAAAAUUCAGUUAUGUCCAAAGAAUAGGUUAACAUGAAAACCCACUAAGACUUUCCAUCUUAAAUUAUUUUAAGAGGUAUUUCAGUUUUAAAUGCAAAAUAGCCUUAUUUUCAUUUAGUUUGUUAGCACUAUAGUGAGCUUUUCAAACACUAUUUUAAUCUUUAUAUUUAACUUAUAAAUUUUGCUUUCUAUGGAAAUAAGUUUUGUAUUUGUAUUAAAAAUUAACUUUUCCCUUUUAUACAGAA